UUUACGCGUAAUUACAUUUUUCCUAUAUAGACGGGUACAUCACGUGAAUUAUACCGAGAGGAAACACAAUACUCGGUGCAUUCAGUGCAGAUACCUAUAAUAGAAGUGAGAGAAUGAAGGAAUAAAAACGUCAGCUUGUCAACGCGGAUGUCACGACUGUCAUAGACGAUUUUACCUUGUUUUCUAUAAACACGGAGGAAUCGCUUCUGUAUUAGCGAAUUUUUUUUCUGUUUUUAAACACGCCGCCAGAUCUGUUCAGCUAGCUAGCUAGCUGCGUAUGAAACGUCAGAGAGAUUGAGAAGCGAGACGCGUCAUCGUUUCGGUAGAUCUUCAAAGAACACCUGUUUCGCCGACGGAUAUUAGAUUAGAUCUUUGUGACUGUCAUGUGUACAGUUCUACGUCCAGAAUCGUCGAUAAAAAUAAAACUCGAAUGAGCUACACACGUUUGCGUAGUUAUAUUUUUACAACGAAGUAUUAACGUAUGGUUAGACAAUAUUACUUGUCUUUAUCCAAGUUCAGAAUCGAGUCUCAGACUUAAGGAAAAUAGUCGUCUUGUAUUAUUGCAGAGAAAAAGAUAC
Long non-coding RNA from Diprion similis, 578 nucleotides. RefSeq lists it as uncharacterized. The record is from RefSeq and is a predicted model, not a curated record. The transcript has 2 exons. Lineage: Eukaryota; Metazoa; Arthropoda; Insecta; Hymenoptera; Diprionidae.